This 599-nucleotide ribosomal RNA is filed under the name uncultured bacterium. Its description in RNAcentral is "bacterial SSU rRNA". It matches the Rfam family "Bacterial small subunit ribosomal RNA", at positions 202 to 780 of the family's 1533-position model. The record is from RNAcentral.
AAAGAUGGCCUCUCCUUGGAAGCUGUCACUGGAAGAUGAACCCGCGGCCCAUCAGCUAGUUGGUGAGGUAAUGGCUCACCAAGGCUAUGACGGGUAGCUGGUCUGAGAGGAUGAUCAGCCACACUGGGACUGCGACACGGCCCAGACUCCUACGGGAGGCAGCAGUGGGGAAUAUUGGGCAAUGGGCGAAAGCCUGACCCAGCCACGCCGCGUGAGUGAUGAAGGCCUUCGGGUCGUAAAGCUCUGUGGGGAGGGACGAACAAGCACGGACCUAACACGUCCGGGCUCUGACGGUACCUCCUUAGCAAGCACCGGCUAACCCUGUGCCAGCAGCCGCGGUAAUACAGGGGGUGCAAACGUUGCUCGGAAUCAUUGGGCGUAAAGCGCACGUAGGCGGCUACCUAAGUCGGAUGUGAAAUCCCUCGGCUUAACCGAGGAAGUGCAUCCGAAACUGAGUAGCUUGAGUACGAAAGAGGGUCGCGGAAUUCCCGGUGUAGAGGUGAAAUUCGUAGAUAUCGGGAGGAACACCGGCGGCGAAGGCGGCGACCUGGUUCGAGACUGACGCUGAGGUGCGAAAGCGUGGGGAGCAAACAGGAUUA